ACUCAAAUGAAUAGACGGGGGCCCGCACAAGCGGUGGAGCAUGUUGCUUAAUUCGAGGCAACGCGAAGAACCUUACCCAGGUUUGACAUGCAUAUGACGUGAGGUGAAAGCCUUGUUCCCUUCGGGGCAUAUGCACAGAUGCUGCAUGGCUGUCGUCAGCUCGUGCCGUGAGGUGUUCGGUUAAGUCCGGCAACGAGCGCAACCCGUGCCGUCAGUUGCCAACAGGUAAAGCUGGGAACUCUGGCGGGACUGCCCGUGUCAAGCGGGAGGAAGGCGCGGAUGACGUCAAGUCCGUAUGGCUCUUACGCCUGGGGCUGCAAACGUGCUACAAUGGCCGGUACAAAGGGGUGCGAGUCCGCGAGGGCGAGCGAAUCCAUAAAACCGGCCCCAGUUCGGAUCGCAGUCUGCAACUCGACUGCGUGAAGCCGGAAUCGCUAGUAAAGGGGCAUCAGCAACGGCCCCUUGAAUACGUUCCCGGGCCUUGUACACACCGCCCGU
RNAcentral lists this ribosomal RNA (498 nucleotides) under uncultured bacterium. RNAcentral describes it as "bacterial SSU rRNA". It matches the Rfam family "Bacterial small subunit ribosomal RNA", at positions 899 to 1397 of the family's 1533-position model. The record is from RNAcentral.